CACGUAUUUAGCCGUCACUUCUUCUGUUGGUACCGUCAUUUUUUUCUUCCCAACUGAAAGCACUUUACAUUCCGAAAAACUUCAUUGUGCACACAGAAUUGCUGGAUCAGACUCUUGGUCCAUUGUCCAAUAUUCCCCACUGCUGCCUCCCGUAGGAGUAAGGGCCGUGUCUCAGUCCCCUUGUGGCCGAUCACCCUCUCAGGCCGGCUACCCAUCAUCGCCUUGGUGAGCCGUUACCUCUCCAACUAGCUAAUGGGACGCAAAGCUCUCUCACAGCGCAUAUAGCUUUCAUAAUCUUAGGAUGCCCUAAAAUCAUAAUAUCAGGUAUUAGCAUUCGUUCCAAAUGUUGUCCCUAUCUGUGAGGCAAGUUCUUUACGCGUUACUCACCCGUCCGCCACCCAAACUGAAGUUCAAGUUGACUUGCAUGUGUUAAGCAUUCUGUCAGCGUUUCAUCCUGAGCCAGGAUCAAACUCU
RNAcentral lists this ribosomal RNA (474 nucleotides) under uncultured Fusobacterium sp. Its description in RNAcentral is "partial 16S ribosomal RNA". The record is from RNAcentral. Lineage: Bacteria; Fusobacteriati; Fusobacteriota; Fusobacteriia; Fusobacteriales; Fusobacteriaceae.